RNAcentral lists this ribosomal RNA (652 nucleotides) under Escherichia coli. RNAcentral's name for it is "partial 23S ribosomal RNA". It matches the Rfam family "Bacterial large subunit ribosomal RNA", at positions 2147 to 2798 of the family's 2925-position model. The record is from RNAcentral. Lineage: Bacteria; Pseudomonadati; Pseudomonadota; Gammaproteobacteria; Enterobacterales; Enterobacteriaceae.
GUGGGAGGCUUGGAAGUGUGGACGCCAGUCUGCAUGGAGCCGACCUUGAAAUACCACCCUUUAAUGUUUGAUGUUCUAACGUGGACCCGUGAUCCGGGUUGCGGACAGUGUCUGGUGGGUAGUUUGACUGGGGCGGUCUCCUCCUAAAGAGUAACGGAGGAGCACGAAGGUUGGCUAAUCCUGGUCGGACAUCAGGAGGUUAGUGCAAUGGCAUAAGCCAGCUUGACUGCGAGCGUGACGGCGCGAGCAGGUGCGAAAGCAGGUCAUAGUGAUCCGGUGGUUCUGAAUGGAAGGGCCAUCGCUCAACGGAUAAAAGGUACUCCGGGGAUAACAGGCUGAUACCGCCCAAGAGUUCAUAUCGACGGCGGUGUUUGGCACCUCGAUGUCGGCUCAUCACAUCCUGGGGCUGAAGUAGGUCCCAAGGGUAUGGCUGUUCGCCAUUUAAAGUGGUACGCGAGCUGGGUUUAGAACGUCGUGAGACAGUUCGGUCCCUAUCUGCCGUGGGCGCUGGAGAACUGAGGGGGGCUGCUCCUAGUACGAGAGGACCGGAGUGGACGCAUCACUGGUGUUCGGGUUGUCAUGCCAAUGGCACUGCCCGGUAGCUAAAUGCGGAAGAGAUAAGUGCUGAAAGCAUCUAAGCACGAAACUUGCC